Sycon ciliatum is the source of this 489-nucleotide long non-coding RNA. RefSeq lists it as uncharacterized. The record is from RefSeq and is a predicted model, not a curated record. The transcript is spliced from 4 exons. Lineage: Eukaryota; Metazoa; Porifera; Calcarea; Leucosolenida; Sycettidae.
CGAAACCACGAAAAGGAAAUCGGAGCUCCAACUGAAUGGAAGUACUGACGGUACUGUAGCUGAAAACAUCCAAGCACGCGAAUGCCCUGUAGGCGGAGGACAAGCCGAAUCAGGGAUUUUUCAAUGUAGCGAAUAGAAAUUAGCUUCUGUAGACAGAGUGACACGCGAUCAAGAUGACGGGAUGGAAAUCAAAUAGAAAUGAGAUGGUAACCUGGACCAUGAUGGUGCUAUGUGCAUCGUGGAUUGGAUACUGCCAAGGAGCCUGGCCCUGUGGAGAUUGCCGAUGUGAUCAGUUAACAGGGACCAGAACUCUGCUAAGUUGCUCAUAUGUGUCAGAUUUUUUGUUUCUUAGUAAUAACCAAAUCUCUAUGAUACCGCAUAAUGUCUUUGACAAGUUUAGCGUUCUUAAAACAUUGUACUUGCAACAGAAUCAACUCACGAGCCUUCCUGAUAAUAUAUUUGGCAAACUGACAAAUCUGACAGAUCUGU